This 248-nucleotide ribosomal RNA is filed under the name uncultured Chlorophyceae. Its description in RNAcentral is "partial small subunit ribosomal RNA". It matches the Rfam family "Eukaryotic small subunit ribosomal RNA", at positions 587 to 840 of the family's 1831-position model. Lineage: Eukaryota; Viridiplantae; Chlorophyta; Chlorophyceae. The record is from RNAcentral.
AGCUCCAAUAGCGUAUAUUUAAGUUGUUGCAGUUAAAAGGCUCGUAGUCGAAUUUCGGAUGCAUCACAGUGAUCCGCCUCUGGUGAGUAUUGCUGUUGAUGCAUCUUUCUGUUGAGGACAGGCUCUCAGUCUUAAUUGAUUGGGACCUGGGCUCAACGAGGUUACUUUGAGUAAAUUAGAGUGUUCAAAGCAGGCGAUCGCCUUGAAUACAUUAGCAUGGAAUAGCACGAUAGGACUCUGGCCUAUCU